Molecule: long non-coding RNA, 2691 nt
Organism: Gopherus evgoodei (Goodes thornscrub tortoise)
Lineage: Eukaryota; Metazoa; Chordata; Testudines; Testudinidae
Source: Ensembl
GGGACCGGCGCGGCGCUGACAGCACCCAGCUCCCCCGCGGCAGAUGCCCCCCGGGCGGGGGCGGAGCGGGUUCACCUUGCGGAGAGGAGAGGGGUUCUGCUUACACUGUCCCCGCCGGCCUCAGCCACGGAGCGCGAACACCACGGCGACCCACGCUCGCACCCCGGCGGCAGGCGGAACAGGCGGAGCCCACGCCGCCUCCCAUUGGGCGGGGACGCCCAGGGAGGAAAGGUCACGCAGAAGGAGGGGGCGCCUCGUGCUCGCACGGGCGUUGAGGGAGGGUGGCGAGUCACGCGCUGGCUGGCUGGCUCGCCCUCCCCCGGGCUGUGUGUGGUGCGCGCACGAUCCCAACUCCUCAAGCACACUCCACAGAUUAUCCCAGCUUCUUGUGAUCAGCCUAAACCUUAAAGGUAUGUUUACUGUGUAAGAACAGAGUUAGUGGCACUCAAGUCCAUGGACCCAGGGCUUGAAUGUACAUACUGCGCAUGAACCCUCAGUUUAGAAUUUCAAGACUCAGGCCCAAUAUUCCAAUGUCUACACUGUAGUAUGCAGAUCUGAGUCAAACCAGCAUAUCCCAGGCUUCCUAGUGUUCUCCCCAGCUGUGACCGCUCUGGUUUGUGAUGAAGUGUGGGAAAACUGAUGGCCACCCUAUGCAUUACAGGAAAUUGUCACCAUUUCAAGAGCUUCUCUUGCUUGCUUGCUUUCACUUCUGUUUCUGCUAACAGAUAGAGCAUCCAUAAGAAGCUGGUGGACAUUCUGACAGUGUUUUCUGAGCUACCAAACGUGCCUGUUGGAAAAGGGGGACAACACGGACAUGAAAAAAUUGAACUGGCUGACGCUGCUUGUGACUCUUAGUGUAGCCGCUGAUGCCCUGGACCAGCACUUCUGGAGCAGGACCACAAGCACAGACGGGUGAUUCCAUCACCAGGGAUGGCCAGCAAUGAGUCCAGCACUUUCACAUGAAGAAAGCUACAUUUCUGGAGCUGCUGAGCAGCUUGCCCCAAACCUUCAGUGUCAGGACAGACAAAUGAGGCCAGCCGUUCUGGUCCAGGAACAGAUUUCUAUAACCAUGUGGAAACUGGCUAUCCCAAACUGCUACACGUCUGUUGCUAACCAUUCAAUGUUGGAAAGUCAACCAUGGGUAAAGUGGUUGCAGAGGUUUUUGAGGCAAUCAGGCAUGUGAGAUAUCCAAAGGUAGUGGGCAUAAACAAGAUCCCUGAAGUAAUUGCUAGUUUUAAGAGAAUGGGAUUUCCGAAAUGCAUAGAGGCCAUAUAUGAAAAUUAUGUGGCCAUAGUUCACCCUCCCCAAAAAGCAGAAGCACGUAAAUCACAAUGGGUACCACUCUAUUAUUAUGCAGGCCCUUGUACAUGCCAACAUGGGCUGCACUGGAAAGGCUUGUGAUGCCAGGGUUUUCCACUGAUCAGGAAUCUACAUUAAAUGUUACUGGCUGGGACACUUUCCCCCCUGAAUGGCAUUGUCAUAAAUUGAGUAACCAUCCCCAUUGUUAUCCUGGGGGACUCCACAUACCCCCUUUUGCCUUGGCUUAUGAAACUAUAUCCUGAUCUCAGAUAGCCUGGUAAAAAAGGUUUAAUUACAUCUCAGCAGGUUCAGAAUGGUGAUUGAAUGUGCAUUUGGCAGACUUUAAUCUGGCUGGCGCUAUUUACAGAAACAUUUGGAUUCCAGUGUCAUCAAAGCUGUUCGAAUUAUUGUGGCUUGCUGUGCUCUACACAAUCUUUGUGAAGCCAAAGAUGAGCCAUUUGCUCCUGAAUGAAACCGUGACAGUAAGGGAUUGCUGAAUCAAUACACUCAACUAUAAAGCACAUCUAUCACAGCUGGGGCAGGACAGAGCCAUCACAUCCAUAGAAUGGACUGGGGCAACCGCCCCGGGCCCUGCACUUUGGGGGCCCUGCACUUUGAGACGCAGGGUCCAGGGCAGCCUGGGAGGUUAGCAGGGGGCCUGGCGCUGGCAGCAGUGAGCAACUUGGCCCCAGCCUGCCCCACUGGCUCCUGGCAUCGAUCAGGGAAGGAAACCGAAGAGAGGUGGGGCAGGGGGUUGGGUGAAGGGAUGGAGUGGGGGUGGGGGUGGAGCAGGGGUGGGAAGAGGCAGGGCGGGGAUUAGGGGAAGAGUGGGGGUGGGGCCUGGGGGUUGUCCCAGGCCCUGCACCCCCUUAGGGAUAGCCGUGGGGCACAGUGUACCUGGGCAACACCAAGCAGGGAUGCUCUGUUCUCUCACAUUACAGACUUGCAUGGGCCUGUGAAAAAAGGGAUAAUAGUACAUUUAUGAAUGUUUGUGCAAUGUUUACAGUAAAUGAGGUACUAUCAUUCCCCUUCCCCUCGAUUUCAUUAUGUAUUGUGAAUGGGAUGGUUGAUUGCCAUGCAUUGGUCCUAUUGAUGACAGGACUGUUUAUGAACUGGGGCUGAGGGAAUUAAUUGCCAUUCAUAAAUGAGUGCAUGGCAUGACUUCUUAUGAAAUGGAGAGGGGGUAUGUGGCAACAACUGAGGAUUUAUAGUAUGGCUUGAUGUAAAGAAAUGCAUUAAGAAAUACUGUUUGUAUACAACUUUCCAGUUGUCCCUUAUCAUGUGUUUACCUAUUAUAAUGUGUAUAGAAAAUAGUAUGAUGUGAUGCAGUGACAGCAAUAACAUUUCUUAAUAAAAUAAAAACAAACAUUUAUUUUUGAACAUGUAUUAGAA